GACGAACGCUGGCGGCGUGCUUAACACAUGCAAGUCGAACGGAAAGGCCCUGCUUUUGUGGGGUGCUCGAGUGGCGAACGGGUGAGUAACACGUGAGUAACCUGCCCUUGACUUUGGGAUAACUUCAGGAAACUGGGGCUAAUACCGGAUAGGAGCUCCUGCUGCAUGGUGGGGGUUGGAAAGUUUCGGCGGUUGGGGAUGGACUCGCGGCUUAUCAGCUUGUUGGUGGGGUAGAGGCUUACCAAGGCUUUGACGGGUAGCCGGCCUGAGAGGGUGACCGGCAACAUUGGGAAUGAGAUACGGCCCAGACUCCUACGGGAGGCAGCAGUGGGGAAUAUGGCACAAUGGGCGGAGGCCUGAUGCAGCACCGCCGCGUGCGGGAUGACGGCUUUCGGGUUGUAACCCGCUUCCGCCUGUGACGAAGCGUGAGUGACGGUAAUGGGUAAAGAAGCACCGGCUAACUACGUG
Molecule: ribosomal RNA, 468 nt
Filed under: uncultured bacterium
Lineage: Bacteria
Description: partial 16S ribosomal RNA
Rfam family: Bacterial small subunit ribosomal RNA
Source: RNAcentral